UCGUGGGAGGAGUAACACCACAAAAAAAAAAAGGGGAGGGGGAGAGCGGCGGCGGCGGCGGCGGCAGCGUCCGGGGAGAGGCGAUCGCCGGGGGAGACCGAGCGCCGGAGCCGAGAACCGGCCGACCGUGGAGGAAGCUUUAAAGCUCUUCCUUCCUUCAAGAAGAUCCCCACAAAUCGGGUGAAGAAGCUUGGGGAUCCGAGGGUCUUCCUCCUCCGAUUUUCCGCCGGAAAGGUCGCCGGAACACCCCCACCGGACCGAGGGGAAGAGUCAGCGGUGCCAGGAGGUUUUGAUCAGGGGACUCAGCACCCCAGCUCGUAGGUUGUGAUCCAGAUCUGUAUUUGAGUCAGUCUACAAUUUCUAGUUGCAGGAUGCAUAGAUUUGGAUGGGAUGGGCGCAGAGUGCGAGUACCAGAGUUAUUAGUUAGUUAGUUGGUUUAUCCUUCUUUGAUGUUGAUGAACAUUAGAAGAUCUUAUAAUUGAACUAAUUUGUUUAUUUGGACAUGUCGGAUUUGUCUAUUUAAAUUAUCAAUUUCUUAUGGAUUUAAUGGAA
Non-coding RNA from Phoenix dactylifera (date palm), 552 nucleotides. NCBI's taxonomy places the organism in Eukaryota, Viridiplantae, Streptophyta, Magnoliopsida, Arecales, Arecaceae. The record is from RefSeq and is a predicted model, not a curated record.